UGGGGAAUAUUGCACAAUGGGCGCAAGCCUGAUGCAGCCAUGCCGCGUGUGUGAAGAAGGCCUUCGGGAUGUAAAGCACUUUCAGCGGGGAGGAAGGCGUUAAGGUUAAUAACCUUGGCGAUUGACGUUACCCGCAGAAGAAGCACCGGCUAACUCCGUGCCAGCAGCCGCGGUAAUACGGAGGGUGCAAGCGUUAAUCGGAAUUACUGGGCGUAAAGCGCACGCAGGCGGUCUGUCAAGUCGGAUGUGAAAUCCCCGGGCUCAACCUGGGAACUGAAUUCGAAACUGGCAGGCUAGAGUCUUGUAGAGGGGGGUAAAAUUCCAGGUGUAGCGGUGAAAUGCGUAGAGAUCUGGAGGAAUACCUGUGGCGAAGGCGGCCCCCUGGACAAAGACUGACGCUCAGGUGCGAAAGCGGGGGGAGCAAACAGG
Molecule: ribosomal RNA, 429 nt
Filed under: Chloroflexota bacterium
Lineage: Bacteria; Bacillati; Chloroflexota
Description: Chloroflexi bacterium partial 16S ribosomal RNA
Rfam family: Bacterial small subunit ribosomal RNA
Source: RNAcentral